Molecule: ribosomal RNA, 460 nt
Filed under: uncultured bacterium
Lineage: Bacteria
Description: partial 16S ribosomal RNA
Rfam family: Bacterial small subunit ribosomal RNA
Source: RNAcentral
CUACGGGCGGCAGCAGUAAGGAAUAUUGGGCAAUGGACGCAAGUCUGACCCAGCCAUGCCGCGUGCAGGAUGACAGCCCUACGGGUUGUAAACUGCUUUUAUACGGGAAAAAACCCCUGCACGAGUUGCGGGGUUGAUGGUACCGUAAGAAUAAGCAUCGGCUAACUCCGUGCCAGCAGCCGCGGUAAUACGGAGGAUGCAAGCGUUAUCCGGAUUCAUUGGGUUUAAAGGGUGCGUAGGCGGAAUGAUAAGUCAGUGGUGAAAUCCUACAGCUUAACUGUAGAACUGCCAUUGAUACUGUUGUUCUUGAGUACAUUUGAAGUGGGCGGAAUGUGUCAUGUAGCGGUGAAAUGCAUAGAGAUGACACAGAACACCGAUCGCGAAGGCAGCUCACUAAACUGUAACUGACGCUGAGGCACGAAAGCGUGGGGAUCAAACAGGAUUAGAUACCCGCGUAGUC